RNAcentral lists this ribosomal RNA (780 nucleotides) under bacterium SCGC AAA071-N05. Its description in RNAcentral is "bacterial SSU rRNA". It matches the Rfam family "Bacterial small subunit ribosomal RNA", at positions 78 to 859 of the family's 1533-position model. The record is from RNAcentral.
GCUUGCUUUCGCUGACGACCGGCGCACGGGUGCGUAACGCGUAUGCAACCUACCUCAUACUGGAGGAUAGCCCCUGGAAACGGGGAUUAAUACUCCAUAGUAUCACGAAUUCGCAUGUUUUUGUGAUUAAAGUUUUUCGGUAUGAGAUGGGCAUGCGUCCCAUUAGCUUGUUGGUGAGGUAACGGCUCACCAAGGCAACGAUGGGUAGGGGGCCUGAGAGGGUGGUCCCCCACACUGGUACUGAGACACGGACCAGACUCCUACGGGAGGCAGCAGUGAGGAAUAUUGGUCAAUGGAGGCAACUCUGAACCAGCCAUGCCGCGUGAAGGAUGACGGCCCUAUGGGUUGUAAACUUCUUUUAUAGAGGAAGAAACUUGUCUACGUGUAGACAACUGACGGUACUCUACGAAUAAGGAUCGGCUAACUCCGUGCCAGCAGCCGCGGUAAUACGGAGGAUCCAAGCGUUAUCCGGAUUCAUUGGGUUUAAAGGGUCCGUAGGCGGGUCUUUAAGUCAGUGGUGAAAGCCGACAGCUCAACUGUCGAACUGCCAUUGAUACUGGAGACCUUGAGUACAAAUGAAGUAGGCGGAAUGAGUCAUGUAGCGGUGAAAUGCAUAGAUAUGACUCAGAACACCGAUUGCGAAGGCAGCUUACUAACAUGUAACUGACGCUGAGGGACGAAAGCGUGGGGAGCGAACAGGAUUAGAUACCCUGGUAGUCCACGCCGUAAACGAUCAUCACUCGCUGUUGGCGAUAUACUGUCAGCGGCCAAGCGAAAGUA